RNAcentral lists this ribosomal RNA (669 nucleotides) under uncultured archaeon. RNAcentral describes it as "bacterial SSU rRNA". It matches the Rfam family "Archaeal small subunit ribosomal RNA", at positions 319 to 993 of the family's 1478-position model. The record is from RNAcentral.
UUCCUACGGGGUGCAGCAGGCGCGCAAACUUUACAAUGCGAGCAAUCGUGAUAAGGAAACCCUGAGUGCCUGUCGAUGCAGGCUGUUCAUAUAUCUAAAUCAUAUGUGAAGAAAGGGCAGGGCAAGACCGGUGCCAGCCGCCGCGGUAAUACCGGCUGCUCGAGUGAUGGCCACUAUUACUGGGUUUAAAGCGUCCGUAGCUUGACUGUUAGGUCUCUUGGGAAAUCUUCGCGCUCAACGUGAAGGCGUCUAAGAGAUACCGGCAGUCUUGGAACUGGGAGAGGUAAGCCGUACUUCGGGGGUAGGAGUGAAAUCUUGUAAUCCUCGAGGGACGACCUAUGGCGAAGGCAGUUUACCAGAACAGCUUCGACAGUGAGGGACGAAAGCUGGGGGAGCAAACGGGAUUAGAUACCCCGGUAGUCCCAGCCGUAAACAAUGUGCGUUAGGUGUGUCGGUAACCACGUGUUACUGAUGCGCCGAAGAGAAAUCGUGAAACGCACCACCUGGGAAGUACGGUCGCAAGGCUGAAACUUAAAGGAAUUGGCGGGGGAGCACCACAACAGGUGGAGCCUGCGGUUUAAUUGGAUUCAACGCCGGACAUCUCACCGGAUAAGACAGCUGAAUGAUUGUCAAUCUGAAGGUUUUACAUGACUAGCUGAGAGGANGUGC